CGUGUUUCUAAAGGAACAAACAUAUUACAUUGAUACACUUUUGAGAUAUUUUAUGAUUAUUUACAAUGUUAUUCUUAUUUUGUGAUUUUCUCUUUUCUUCCAUGAAAAGUUAUUAAAUACUAAAAAUUUGAUAUAAAAAUAGCUAAUUAAUUAUUAUGAUUGGAAAUUUUUAUAGAACCAUUUAACAAGUGUGUUAAAGGGACAAACACGACACAUUAGUGUAUAUAAAAGACAAUUCAUAAAAUUCAUAAAUAAUAUAAUUUUAGGAUUUCUUUAGCAACUCUACAACCUCUUUGCAUAAAUAAACUUAUUAUUUCUACAAACUAUUUAAUUGAUCUAAGUUGAGCAUGAUAUAUAUACAUCAUAAAUUAAGUGAUAGAAUCAUAUCCUAGUUGAUUAAUUCAUAUAAUAGAAAAUAUGGCAAAAUAUAUUCACUUUAUUUAUGUUAUGUUUUUUGUUCUCUCUUUCUUUUUUGUAGCAACGAUGGUUAAUGCUGGUGGUAAAAAAUGUGUUGAUAUUGCUGAUUGUCCAAAGGAAUUGUGCGCACGUACUUUGUCACCAAUGUGUUAUUUUGGUUAUUGUAUUUGCAAAUGAAUAUUCAUGUGUUGUGAUUUAGUCAUUGAUAUUGGCAUCUAAUAAUUUAGUUUUCUUUUAGUUUUAAUAAUUCCAAGUAUCUUGUUGUUAUGGCCUUCUACUAGAUUAUUUUAUACAAAAUAUAAAUUUGUCUCCUUUUCUUUCAA
This is a long non-coding RNA of Vicia villosa (hairy vetch), 740 nucleotides long. RefSeq lists it as uncharacterized. NCBI's taxonomy places the organism in Eukaryota, Viridiplantae, Streptophyta, Magnoliopsida, Fabales, Fabaceae. The transcript has 2 exons. The record is from RefSeq and is a predicted model, not a curated record.